CGCGAUAGGUAAUGUGAAUUGCAGAAUUCCGUGAAUCAUCGAAUCUUUGAACGCACCUUGCGCUCCAUGGUAUUCCGUGGAGCAUGCCUGUUUGAGUGCCGCGAAUUCUCCCUCCCCUUACGGUGGCCGAAAGGCCGAAGUAGGGCGGACGGGGUAGGAUGGGUGUUGCUGCCUGGGGAUUGUACCAGGCUCGCCCGAAAUGCAUAAGCGCCAGGACCCUCGCUACCGCUCUCUAGGGAAGAGUGGCUAAGCGACCGCUGAGCAUGGCAUGAUACGUCAUUUGCUGUGUGUGGGCGGCCGGUUGGAGAGGUGUCUGCUUUAACAGCCCUUUUUAAUUCUGGUCUCAAAUCAGGUAGGAUCACCCGCUGAAC
This 371-nucleotide ribosomal RNA is filed under the name Malassezia sympodialis. Its description in RNAcentral is "eukaryotic LSU rRNA". The stretch from base 1 to 101 matches the Rfam family "5.8S ribosomal RNA", at positions 54 to 154 of the family's 154-position model. The record is from RNAcentral. Lineage: Eukaryota; Fungi; Basidiomycota; Malasseziomycetes; Malasseziales; Malasseziaceae.